UCCCCGCAACUUGCAAGGUCGUCGCUGUGGCACUGCGGAAUUGAAAUCAGCGAAUUACCAGCAGACGAUAACGGUGUGGACUUGGGGCAGCACAGUUCUGAGGUGACCGGCCAUGGCGUUGCCGGUAUCAUAGACGUAUGCUUCUUCGAUAUCCCUGCAAUAACUUGUACACUUUUGGUGACAAUGCGCUCCAAGGACAGGAUCUCUUACUUCUACGAUGGUGACGUGGGAAGCGUUUACUUUGGGCCAAACCAUCCAAUGAAGCCUCACCGUCUUUGCAUGACCCAUCAUCUUGUCCUCUCAUACGAGCUUCAUAAGAAGAUGGAAAUUUAUCGUCCACACAAGGCUUAUCCUGUUGAGCUUGCCCAGUUUCAUUCAGCUGAUUAUGUUGAGUUUUUGCACAGGAUUACACCUGACACUCAGCAUCUGUUCUCGAAUGAAUUGGCAAAAUAUAAUCUUGGAGAAGACUGCCCUGUAUUUGACAACUUAUUUGAAUUUUGUCAAAUCUAUGCCGGUGGAACCAUAGAUGCUGCACGUCGAUUAAACAAUCAACUCUGUGACAUUGCUAUAAAUUGGGCUGGUGGACUGCACCAUGCCAAGAAAUGCGAGGCAUCUGGAUUUUGUUACAUCAAUGACUUGGUUUUAGGAAUCUUGGAGCUUCUUAAAUAUCAUGCUCGUGUUUUAUAUAUUGAUAUAGAUGUCCACCAUGGUGAUGGAGUAGAAGAAGCCUUCUACUUCACUGAUAGGGUGAUGACUGUUAGUUUUCACAAGUAUGGAGACAUGUUCUUUCCAGGAACUGGUGAUGUCAAGGAAAUAGGAGAAAAAGAGGGCAAGUUUUAUGCCAUUAAUGUCCCCCUUAAAGACGGAAUAGAUGAUCCUAGCUUCAAUCGGCUUUUUAAGACUAUUAUUUCUAAGGUUGUCGAAAUAUAUCAACCUGGUGUGAUAGUUCUCCAAUGUGGGGCAGAUUCACUUGCUGGAGACCGUCUGGGUUGCUUCAAUCUUUCCAUUGAUGGUCAUGCUGAAUGUGUUAAAUUUGUAAGGAAGUUCAAUUUGCCCUUGCUGGUCACUGGAGGCGGGGGAUACACAAAAGAGAAUGUAGCUCGGUGUUGGACUGUUGAAACUGGAGUUCUUCUAGAUACAGAGCUUCCAAAUGGUUUAUGCAGAAAAUGCAAUCUACAAGACUGCAAACUUUUCUUAUUGCAUGCAUCUCUUCUGUAAUAAAUAGAACUGGCAAUUUAAAGAAAGCUGACAUAAAAUGCCAAGGCUUUAAAAAAAAGUUCUAAGAUAACCCUCUUCAAAUUUCCUUCUAUCGCAAAUGUCCCUUGCGAUUUCAAUGUUGGCAAUUAAGCCACUUGAACUUUCAACAAGUUCAAUGAUCCUCCCGAUCACCAUUUAUCAUGUAAUGAAAAAGGGAGGGGAAAAUGAGAAAAGAUCUAUUGAUUUAAGGCCCCGUUUGGUAGUUUGGAAUCAUGGAGAAAGAAAUGGAAUUGGACAUGGAAUCUGUUAACAUGUGUGUUUGGUAUGCAAUAAUUAUGAUUCUUUGGAAUCAGGAUUCAAGGAAAUUUGAUGGAAUUGGAUUCCAUCAUAUGAAUCAUGGAAUCCAAUUCCAUGGUUCAUUUUCUCCAAUUUGCCCCUUCUCUCUCCUCCAAUAUAAUUUUUUUUAAUUUUAAAAAGGACACUUUAGUCUUUUCUUAUUUUAAAUACUUAUAUUUUAUUAAAAUUAUAUCAGGAUUCCAUCAUUAUACCAAACAUACUUUUAAAUCCAAUUCUAUUCCAAUUCCAAUUCUAAUUCCGAUUCCGAUUCCGAUUCCGAUUCCAUUAAAAACUCUUCCAUCAUACCAAACAUGGCCUAAUAGUCAAGUAGAAUCUAAAAUACAGUUUGGUAAAAUUUCUCGUAGUUUUCCUAAAAUGUUCUAGUUAUGAGUCAUAAAUUUGUUUGUUUGUAGAUGGAAGGGAUUAUUUGCCAAAUGUUUUAAAUUUGUUUGGGUUAAUUGGCAAUGACUAAAUUGAAGCGUAAUGUGCAAUUUGGCCUUAAAUUUUGUUUGAUCCUUCUUGUUUUCAAGAGAUUAACAUUGUAUGCCUGUUUGAUCUGUCUUGCAGAGAUCCCUGAGAAUGAUUACAUCAAAUAUUUUGCUCCAGAAUUUUCCUUGAAGAUUCCAAAUGGGCACAUAGAGAAUUUAAAUAGUAAAUCAUAUCUUAGCACCAUCAAAAUGCAAGUCUUGGAAAAUCUCCGUUACAUCCAACAUGCUC
Molecule: RNA transcript, 2250 nt
Organism: Prosopis cineraria
Lineage: Eukaryota; Viridiplantae; Streptophyta; Magnoliopsida; Fabales; Fabaceae
Gene name: histone deacetylase 9
Exons: 12
Source: RefSeq, a predicted model, not a curated record